CCCAAUGGCGCUGCUGCUGCUGUGCUGUUCAGAUUUAAUUCCGUUGGCAAACCCGCGACUGCUCCAUUCAAGACAUUCCAGCAAAAACAGAACCGGACUCAGACUGCCAUCUGGCAAAUUCCGUGCAUUCAGACAGAGAAUCAGAGAGAAGUGUUGUGUGAAUGAAAGAAGAUCAAGACAGGGCGCAGGAAGACAAAGGAAUUGGGAAAAGAAUCGAAAAAAUUCAAAACCGGUUGACUCGUCAGAUCACAUAGCUGUUGCCAGCUGAAAUGUCGAAAUUAGCAGGAUAGACAAGGCUAAUAUUUGUGUAAACUUUGUAAGAAAUGGAAAUGCCUGGAAGCACAAGUGGAAGAAAUAACUCCAUGGGGGCUAACUUCAACUCAAAUUAAAUACAACUCAAAAACAGGAAAAUAAGGUGACUGAAGUGAAGCAAGGGUUGAGCACCAGAGAAGACAGAUUUAAAGCGAUUGGCAAAAGAAUCAAAGAUAAAGAAGUGCAGAUGCUGGAAACCUGUACCAAACAAAAAUAAAUUGUUGGAGAAACUCAAGGUCUGGCAGCAUCUAUGGAAAGAAAACAGAGUUAAUAUUGAUGAUAACAAAGUGUGAAGCUGGAUCAACACAGCAGGCCAAGCAGCAUCUCAGGAGCACAAAAGCUGACGUUUCGGGCCUAGACCCCUCCAGUAACCCUUCCUCAGAACUUGUUUUUUUAAAUAAACAUGUCUGUACACACGAACAUACCUGCUUGACAUUAUAUCCGGCUUUAGCGCUAGUUUCAAUAUACAUUACAUUCAGUUCCCUGGCUUUCCGCUCUCCUUCCUCCAUCGAAACC
Molecule: long non-coding RNA, 828 nt
Organism: Stegostoma tigrinum
Lineage: Eukaryota; Metazoa; Chordata; Chondrichthyes; Orectolobiformes; Stegostomatidae
Exons: 4
Source: RefSeq, a predicted model, not a curated record